GCGGCGGACGCUCGUCACACAUUCAUUGGAAAGUGCUAAGUACAGCUCCUGGACAGCUGCUAGAAUAUUUAUAAAUUCAUUAUCAACUCUCCAGGUCGUACCAUAAAUCGAGCAUCACUCCCCCUGUCACCUGCCUACACAGAGCGUUCACCAGUUGAAGAGGAGCCUAGAACAUCUCCACUGCCUGUACGAUCGAUUCUCGUGCACUGCUAGAGGCUGACCGAUUCCUGGCCUCCCGGUUCAUCAUUAAUGGGCAACAACAAUUAAACGGACCAGUCGCGGGCCUGAUUGUCAACUGUGGUCCGUUGUGUUGCAGUUCCGCUGUCGUCGGACCGUUCGCAUAUCGCCCUCACCGGAAGACGACGAUAGAUCGGUGGCGGGACAGGAUAGAGCGCGGCUGAACAAUUAAAAUUCAAUCAUUUGCAAGCGCACACCCUCUCGGUCGGUGGUUUUGCCUCCGGUAGCAAUAAGUGAGCGGCAAACGCUUCCGAUCCACCGUCACCAGAUCCGAGCGCGUUCUCAUCGGAUUUCUGUUUACCCCCGCCGGCUGUGUUCGUUCGGUGUGUGUGUGUGUGUGCGCGCGAUGCCGUUAUCGGUUUCGUUGGUGAAAUUAAAUUUUGGCUCAUCAGGGCCGAGCAGGUCGCACCGAACGGAACGCUGACUUACAGCAGUGCGUGUGCGUUUCAGCGAUUGCACCGGCUGCUGGGCGAUACCCUGACGCGUCAUUUUUGCUGUGCGUCAACAAAAUGGCUACCGAUGGCGUCCAGCUGGACGCUAUCGCCCAUUGUUCGCUGUGACGUAGCGCUAUCGCAAUCGGAGAAUCUUUCCGUCGAACUCGGAGCAAAGCACAGCUGUGAACCCCUCCCCGGGCAGUGAUAAUGUUUCUUUAUCGCGGUUUGUGCUUGAUGAAUUUUUGUGACGCAAAAUCGUCACACUCGCAUCGAUGUGUGUUUGUUUGAUGCGCUAAAUAGAUUUUAAUCACCGUAUCACAGUAUCAUCGGCCGUAGCUCCGGCUUGCGGAAAGCAAACCUGCAGUAACGAACUCGACCAGCGGACAGAACUACGAACUCGAUGUCCUCGAGUCAAUAGCCGCAUCCAGGGCUGGUGGAUGCAGUCACUGUCCACUGGGAGCAGCUCGGUCCGGCAGUGUACACACAGAUACCGAGCCUGAAACUGAUAGCACACUGUGGCCGGUACAAAUUACCCGAACUCGCACUGUUUGCACAUUCGUGCAUGCGUACGCAAUAAAGCACAGCCGUGCUAUUGACGGGGAGGGGGAUGGCAUCGCACAGGCUCAUCUGCCACAGCUGCCACAGCUACGAGCCCGUCGGCCCGUUACAGUCCUAGUACCAAUUUCGGUCCACUGGCACUCUGCUCGCCAUCGUCGUCGUCUGUUUGUUUGUUUCGUCCAGUUGUCCGAUCCCGUCUUUACUGUUGAUAUGGAUUCGAAAUUAUGCCCCCGAGCGUUCGGGAUGAGAUAUACAUACACACCCGACCCGACCAGCCCGAAACGUGGCUCGUCAAUAUCUGUGGCACCCGGUCGUCCCUAGCCCCCAGCCCUCACUCGCCAAACAAUUGGUUUUGCGUUUGAAGUUCCAGCCUGACAGGCUGCGCCCUGGUAAGGUACGGGCACACCCGGCCCACCUUAUCGGGCGCCGCCAGCGGGACCGUGUGUAGGUGAGUAGUUAACUUGUAUCCUUCGCCGUGAGGGGGCUGGGACUCUUGCCUGUUGAGGCCUGCGGCUAGGUGACUGCUAAAUUUCAAAAACGAUAUUCUUUCCAGCACGCGUCCAAUUGGCCCGACGUGCCCGGAUAUUGCAGGCACCGUUUUGGAGUGUGUUGUGAAAGUCUUCUUUAUUUUUGCAAUUUUUCAAACCGCUCAAACUAACGCAUCAAAAAGUGCUCGAUCCAGUGUGCCGAAAGAGCUUAUCUUCUCCAUCACGCGCGGGUUAAGGACCGCCCCAUCAAACGCACACUCAGUUUUGGUCCUUCGAACCGGAUCGUUUGGAUUUCGUAUUCGGCGUGUGUUUUCUUUGCAAUCAAACACAUAAAGCUAACACACGCACACUUACACGAAUGGGCAUAUGAGCGAAGGAUGUGGUUGUGGAGUAAAAUUGCGUGCUAGAAAUAUCUCAACUUCUUAGCCGGGGCAGUAAAAGAACAGCAAAAAAAAAAAAGGGGCAGCAAACGCCACAACCCUGAGCUCCCGCUCGAGCUGGCACAUCCAUAAUUCAUCCAUAAUCACUUCGUUCCGGGUCUUCACGGUGGGCCGAUGCUUCGGGUAAAGGCUGACAGUCAUAAUAACGGUCAAAGAAACAAUGCGCCUAGGCGUGAUGUCCUUAAUGAAGCGCCGUCUACACUCGUGAAGUGGGGGAAGUGAGUGGGAAACCUUUUUCCUUCUCCUGAAGUUUGCCUACAGCAGCCGUAUUGAAGUUAUGAUUUGGCUUUCGCUUAAUUUCAUCCCCAAUGCCUGCCGACCGUGUAGUUGCAGCUGGAGGUAAUUUAUUUCCCAUCUCAGACACCCGGGCUUAUGUCAGGUUCGUCAGGUUCGGGAAACGUAGCAAAAGGACGCAGGCCGACCUAAGGAUGCUCUAUAUGCGGGAAAACCACCUCAAAAAAGAAGGAACAGGCGAGAUCGAAAAACAAAAUGCACUGGGACGUGAAAACGUGCCCUCACGGUUAAGUCGAAUGCUGAAUUGUUGAUUUUUUCGCCCACCCGAAUUGUUGAUGUCUGGGGGUGGGGAGGGGGGGUGAAAAAAAGCCCCAGUGCAAUUCCCGGUGCUAAUGAAACGAAGGGACUAAAAGCGUAAAUUGAAAAGCGUCCUCCACCAAGUCCGUAAGUAACAAAUCGGAAAAUUGCUUCGAGUGUAUGGACUUUUUUUUGGGCCCUCCCGCCACGGCUCCCGAAAACAUUUCAACAAUACACAUUUAGUAACGGUUCGCCCAUUUUUGUACUUUUUUUUUUGUUGGGGGCAGACCGUGCGCUCGCGAUGAUGAUGGAUUGCGAAACGCGGGAAUGGCACUCGGUGGCGGUGUGCCAAGCUGUGUCUAGCACGGGACCCGUUCCCCCGACGGGGGGCCCAAGAGAUCGAUGGUGAUGGGCCAGGCAGGCCAGGCGGCCUAGGCUUUUUGGCGAACAGUGCCGGCAAACCGGCAGCACCACCCGGGCGUGGUGAUGAAUUAUUAAUAAUCUUCAGAAAGAAAUUACUUUCGAGCGGAAAGACGACCUCACCCCACCGACCGGAAAUCCGGAAUAUCUUCCUCUGCCCGGCCUGGUUGCCCUGCCACUGUUUGGGUUUUAUUUUGGGCAAAUGUUUGGGGUGGGGCUUUGGAGUUUUGCGGAAAAUAGGUUCUUUGGAUGCUGUGGAGCUGUGUGAUAUGCUCCGGCAACACCGAAUCAAUCGGGGGGGACUUGUGAUAAAAUUUCUUGCAGAUAAAGCCGACACUGACGCUGAAGCUGUCGCGGCAACGACUAGCGGCAAAGGUACUGCCGGUGUGGGGGCAGUGGCAUGUAGCAGUUUCCGGAACUUUGCCGGCUCAAGAAGCCCAUCCAUUGAGAUCCAGCAGCAGCAGCAGCACUGGGGCGCGCACCGAAGGCCACACGGCGUAAGUACUCGGGCCAGACGGAGCAAAUUUGUCACCCGCAACCAAUCUCGACUGCAUUACCGAAAGGAAUUCAAAUUAGUUACCGAUUAUGGAAGCGCGUAAGCUCCUGCCGACUCCGACACAAAUCGCUUUCAGCAAAAAUGGUCCGCUUCCCGAUAUUGGCAGCUUUGAUACUGUCUUUUUCUUGCGCUGUUGUUGUCACGCUCUGCUCAUUCUCCACCGUAAAACGGGCGAGAGAGUAAUGAUUAAUAGGGUACGUUGCGCGAAACCGUGUGCGAACAUCGUCGGGUAAUCUCGCCCCCCCCCUCUUUCCCUCCUCCAGGCUUGACGGUAGACAUCAUAAAUCUUCAUUAAAUUAUGUGAUCUGAUGAAAUUUCCUGCGCUCCUUCCAUGGCAUAAACUGAGGUGAUGCAGAAUACAAGAUAAAAAAAAUUCACACAACAUGCACCUACACGGUGACGAAGUCACCAAGGUCCUUGGAUUGAUCUUAUCGCAUUGGGAGAACUCUCUGUUAGAAGGUAGUUGGGCAAAUCUUGAUUAGAAACCUAAAAGACGCGCGAGAAUGAGUCCCCGCAGGCGUACCUACCUUUGCAAACCUUCCGGUGCGUGAUCGGCUUGGUGGCGUCACGGUAGAAUC
This is a long non-coding RNA of Anopheles arabiensis, 4242 nucleotides long. RefSeq lists it as uncharacterized. The record is from RefSeq and is a predicted model, not a curated record. The transcript has 3 exons. NCBI's taxonomy places the organism in Eukaryota, Metazoa, Arthropoda, Insecta, Diptera, Culicidae.